RNAcentral lists this ribosomal RNA (468 nucleotides) under uncultured bacterium. Its description in RNAcentral is "partial 16S ribosomal RNA". It matches the Rfam family "Bacterial small subunit ribosomal RNA", at positions 28 to 507 of the family's 1533-position model. The record is from RNAcentral.
GACGAACGCUGGCGGCGUGCUUAACACAUGCAAGUCGAACGGAAAGGCCCUGCUUUUGUGGGGUGCUCGAGUGGCGCACGGGUGAGUAACACGUGAGUAACCUGCCCUUGACUUUGGGAUAACUUCAGGAAACUGGGGCUAAUACCGGAUAGGAUCUCCUGCUGCAUGGUGGGGGUUGGAAAGUUUCGGCGGUUGGGGAUGGACUCGCGGCUUAUCAGCUUGGUGGUGGGGUAGUGGCUUACCAAGGGUUUGACGGGUAGCCGACCUGAGCGGGUUACCGGCGACCUUGGGACUGCGGGAGGCACCAGAAUCGUACGGGAGGCAGCAGUGGGGAAUAUGGCACAAUAAGCGGGAGCCAGAUGCAACAACGCCGCGAGCGGAAUGCCGUGCUUCGGGUGGUAAACAACUGUCGCCUGUAACGAAGCGGGAGUGACGGUAAUGGGUAAAAAAGCACCGGCUAACUACGUG